This 465-nucleotide ribosomal RNA is filed under the name uncultured bacterium. RNAcentral's name for it is "partial 16S ribosomal RNA". It matches the Rfam family "Bacterial small subunit ribosomal RNA", at positions 28 to 507 of the family's 1533-position model. The record is from RNAcentral.
GAUGAACGCUGGCGGCGUGCUUAACACAUGCAAGUCGAACGGAAAGGCUCCUGCUUGCAGGGGUACUCGAGUGGCGAACGGGUGAGUAACACGUGGGUGAUCUGCCCUGCACUUCGGGAUAAGCCUGGGAAACUGGGUCUAAUACCGGAUAGGACCACAUUUUGGAUGGUGUGGUGGAAAGUUUUUCGGUGUGGGAUGAGCUCGCGGCCUAUCAGCUUGUUGGUGGGGUAAUGGCCUACCAAGGCGUCGACGGGUAGCCGGCCUGAGAGGGUGUACGGCUACAUUGGGACUGAGAUACGGCCCAGACUCCCACGGGAGGCAGCAGUGGGGAAUAUUGCACAAUGGGCGCAAGCCUGAUGCAGCGACGCCGCGUGGGGGAUGACGGCCUUCGGGUUGUAAACUCCUUUCGCUAGGGACGAAGCGCAAGUGACGGUACCUGGAGAAGAAGCACCGGCUAACUACGUG